RNAcentral lists this long non-coding RNA (369 nucleotides) under Sus scrofa (pig). RNAcentral describes it as "lncRNA (multiple genes)". The record is from RNAcentral. Lineage: Eukaryota; Metazoa; Chordata; Mammalia; Artiodactyla; Suidae.
GUGGAAUGGUAUGGAAUCCACAGCCAAGAAAGGACAGAAACAAGAGAUUCAUCAAGACACAGCGUUUUCCUUCAGAGGCAGCAAAUUUAGCUGAUUGCCUCCACACAAGCUUUGUGGGAUCCUAUUUCUUAUACUGGGCAGACCCAAAGAAAUUUCCCAGCGGAUGGAAGAAGAGGCUCGCCUCUAUGACCUACCACACACAGUGGUGCCCUCCUAAUCAAAGGCUUUGGAUUUAUCUGUCGAAAGACCCAACCAAGAAAUGAGAGGGUGAGAAAAGGAAAACUGGGCAUGUUUCUUCCUUGCUUGGUUCCAUUCCUCUGGCAGGAACCUCUCCCAUCAAGACCUCAACUGCUGCUGGUAAUCUCAUCA